GUCUUUAGUUGCCAUCAUUAAGUUGGCACUCUAAGAGACUGCCGGUGUCAAACCGGAGGAAGUGGGAUGACGUCAAGUCCUCAUGGCCUUUAUGACCAGGGCUACACACGUACUACAAUGGCAGGUACAAAGGGCAGCCACUUAGCGAUAAGGAGCGAAUCCCGUAAAACCUGUCUCAGUCCGGAUUGGAGUCUGCAACUCGACUCCAUGAAGUUGGAAUCGCUAGUAAUCGCAGAUCAGCACGCUGCGGUGAAUACGUUCCCGGGCCUU
Molecule: ribosomal RNA, 270 nt
Filed under: uncultured Desulfocapsa sp.
Lineage: Bacteria; Pseudomonadati; Thermodesulfobacteriota; Desulfobulbia; Desulfobulbales; Desulfocapsaceae
Description: partial 16S ribosomal RNA
Rfam family: Bacterial small subunit ribosomal RNA
Source: RNAcentral